Molecule: unclassified non-coding RNA, 250 nt
Filed under: plant metagenome
Description: partial contains small subunit ribosomal RNA, internal transcribed spacer 1, and 5.8S ribosomal RNA
Source: RNAcentral
GUAGGUGAACCUGCGGAAGGAUCAUUACCGAGAGCCGGUUUUCGGACCGGGGGGUUAACAGCCCCGACUCUACCACCCUGUGCCAACAAACCUUUGUUUCUUCGGCGAAGCAUUCGCUGGCCGUGGGUGCUCGUCACCCGUGGCCCCUGCGUGCCCGCCAGAGGCCCUUGAAACUCUUGUUUUAUCGGUGACGUCUGAGUAAAAAUACAAUAACUAAAACUUUCAACAACGGAUCUCUUGGUUCUGGCAU